RNAcentral lists this ribosomal RNA (440 nucleotides) under uncultured bacterium. RNAcentral describes it as "partial 16S ribosomal RNA". It matches the Rfam family "Bacterial small subunit ribosomal RNA", at positions 338 to 795 of the family's 1533-position model. The record is from RNAcentral.
CCUACGGGAGGCAGCAGUGGGGGAUAUUGCACAAUGGGGGAAACCCUGAUGCAGCGACGCCGCGUGUGGGAAGACGGUCCUCUGGAUUGUAAACCACUGUCCCCAGGGACGAAGAUGACGGUACCUGGGGAGGAAGCUCCGGCUAAUUCCGUGCCAGCAGCCGCGGUAAUACGGAGGAUGCGAGCGUUAUCCGGAUUUAUUGGGUUUAAAGGGUGCGUAGGCGGUCCGGAAAGUCAGCGGUAAAAGCCCGGGGCUCAACCCCGUACUGCCGUUGAAACUGCAUCCCUUGAGUGCGCGAGAAGUAUGCGGAAUGCGUGGUGUAGCGGUGAAAUGCAUAGAUAUCACGCAGAACUCCGAUUGCGAAGGCAGCAUACCGGCGCGCAACUGACGCUCAUGCACGAAAGCGUGGGUAUCGAACAGGAUUAGAUACCCCAGUAGUC